GGGCGAAUGGUCUAGGGGUAUGAUACUCCCUUCGCAUCAUCUAAAAAUGAUUGGAAUAUCGCGUCUGGGAGGGGUCCGGGGUUCAAUUCCCCGUUCGUCCA
Molecule: non-coding RNA, 101 nt
Organism: Xylaria castorea
Lineage: Eukaryota; Fungi; Ascomycota; Sordariomycetes; Xylariales; Xylariaceae
Source: the annotation of a GenBank genome assembly